CACUAGGAGAAACUUUACUCUUAGCAGUACCUGCCCAGUGCAAAGUUGUAAACGGCCGCCCUAGCGUGAGGGUGCCAAGGUAGCGAAAUUCCUUGCCUUUUAAUUGUAGGCCUGCAUGAAUGGAUUGACGAGGGUCAAACUGUCUCUUGCUUUGUAUGACGAAAUUGGACUGAAGGUGAAGAUACCUUCAUGUGAAAGUUAGACAAGAAGACCCCGUGCAGCUUUUAAAAACUUACUUAUUAAGAGUUGUAAGAUUUUUAGGUGGGGCGCCUAGGAAGUAAAACUUAACCUUCUUAUUUGUUAAAAGUAACUGUCUGGUGUAGAUCCGGCAAGUCCGAUCAUGGGAGAAGUUACGCCGGGGAUAACAGGCUUAUCCAUUAGUAGAGCUCGUAUUGGCUAAUGGGAUUGGCACCUCGAUGUUGAAUUAAGGAUGAUAACUCUAAGGCGUAGAGGCUUUGGAAGUGGGUCUGUUCGACCUUUAAUACCUU
This 488-nucleotide ribosomal RNA is filed under the name Saccostrea sp. KKL-2003. RNAcentral's name for it is "partial 16S ribosomal RNA". It matches the Rfam family "Bacterial large subunit ribosomal RNA", at positions 1832 to 2597 of the family's 2925-position model. Lineage: Eukaryota; Metazoa; Mollusca; Bivalvia; Ostreida; Ostreidae. The record is from RNAcentral.